Non-coding RNA from Capsicum annuum, 156 nucleotides. Lineage: Eukaryota; Viridiplantae; Streptophyta; Magnoliopsida; Solanales; Solanaceae. The record is from Rfam.
GACUUUCAGCAAUGGAUAUCUCGACUCUCGUAUCAAUGAAAAAUGUAGCGAAAUUCAAUACUUGGUGUAAAUUGUAGUAUCCGGUGAACCAUCGAGCCUUUGAACGCAAGUUAUGCCCAAAGCCAUUAGGCUGAGGGCACGUCUUCCUGGGCAUCA